This 440-nucleotide ribosomal RNA is filed under the name uncultured bacterium. RNAcentral's name for it is "partial 16S ribosomal RNA". It matches the Rfam family "Bacterial small subunit ribosomal RNA", at positions 338 to 795 of the family's 1533-position model. The record is from RNAcentral.
CCUACGGGGGGCAGCAGUAGGGAAUAUUGCUCAAUGGGGGAAACCCUGAAGCAGCAACGCCGCGUGGAGGAUGAAGGUUUUCGGAUUGUAAACUCCUUUUGUUAGAGAAGAUAAUGACGGUAUCUAACGAAUAAGCACCGGCUAACUCCGUGCCAGCAGCCGCGGUAAUACGGAGGGUGCAAGCGUUACGCGGAAUCACUGGGCGUAAAGAGCGCGUAGGCGGGAUAGCAAGGCAGAUGUGAAAUCCUAUGGCUUAACCAUAGAACUGCAUUUGAAACUGUUAGUCUAGAGUAUGGGAGAGGUAAGUGGAAUUCUUGGUGUAGGGGUAAAAUGCGUAGAGAUCGAGAGGAAUACUCAUUGCGAAGGCGACCUGCUAGAACAUAACUGACGCUGAUGCGCGAAAGCGUGGGGAGCAAACAGGAUUAGAUACCCUUGUAGUC